RNAcentral lists this ribosomal RNA (362 nucleotides) under uncultured bacterium. RNAcentral describes it as "bacterial SSU rRNA". It matches the Rfam family "Bacterial small subunit ribosomal RNA", at positions 29 to 416 of the family's 1533-position model. The record is from RNAcentral.
AGCGAACGCUGGCGGCAGGCUUAACACAUGCAAGUCGAGCGGGCGUAGCAAUACGUCAGCGGCAGACGGGUGAGUAACACGUGGGAACGUACCUUUUGGUUCGGAACAACACAGGGAAACUUGUGCUAAUACCGAAUAAGCCCUUACGGGGAAAGAUUUAUCGCCGAAAGAUCGGCCCGCGUCUGAUUAGCUUGUUGGUGAGGUAACGGCUCACCAAGGCGACGAUCAGUAGCNGGUCUGAGAGGAUGAUCAGCCACACUGGGACUGAGACACGGCCCAGACUCCUACGGGAGGCAGCAGUUAGGAAUAUUGGACAAUGGGCGCAAGCCUGAUCCAGCUAUGCCGCGUGAGCGAUGAAGGCC